GACGAACGCUGGCGGCGUGCUUAACACAUGCAAGUCGAACGGAAAGGCCCUGCUUUUGUGGGGUGCUCGAGUGGCGAACGGGUGAGUAACACGUGAGUAACCUGCCCUUGACUUUGGGAUAACUUCAGGAAACUGGGGCUAAUACCGGAUAGGAGCUCCUGCUGCAUGGUGGGGGUUGGAAAGUUUCGGCGGUUGGGGGUGGACUCGCGGCUUAUCAGCUUGUUGGUGGGGUAGUGGCUUACCAAGGAUUGGACGGGUAGCCGGCCUGAGAGGGUGACCGGACACAUUGGGACUGAGGUAAGGCACAGACACGUACGGGAGGGAGCAGGGGGGAAUAGUGCACAAUGGGCGGAAGCCUGCUGCAGCAACGCCGCGUGCGGGAUGACGGCGUUCGGGUUGUAGACCGCUUUCGCCUGUGACGAAGCGUGAGUGACGGUAAUGGGUAAAGAAGCCCCGGCUCACUACGUG
RNAcentral lists this ribosomal RNA (468 nucleotides) under uncultured bacterium. Its description in RNAcentral is "partial 16S ribosomal RNA". It matches the Rfam family "Bacterial small subunit ribosomal RNA", at positions 28 to 507 of the family's 1533-position model. The record is from RNAcentral.